AGUGAACGCUGGCGGUAGGCCUAACACAUGCAAGUCGAACGGCAGCACAGUAAGAGCUUGCUCUUACGGGUGGCGAGUGGCGGACGGGUGAGGAAUACAUCGGAAUCUACUUUUUCGUGGGGGAUAACGUAGGGAAACUUACGCUAAUACCGCAUACGACCUACGGGUGAAAGCAGGGGAUCUUCGGACCUUGCGCGAUUGAAUGAGCCGAUGUCGGAUUAGCUAGUUGGCGGGGUAAAGGCCCACCAAGGCGACGAUACGUAGCUGGUCUGAGAGGAUGAUCAGCCAAACUGGAGCUGAGACACGGUCCAGACUCCUACGGGAGGCAGCAGUGGGGAAUAUUGGACAAUGGGCGCAAGCCUGAUCCAGCCAUACCGCGUGGGUGAAGAAGGCCUUCGGGUUGUAAAGCCCUUUUGUUGGGAAAGAAAAGCAGCAGGUUAAUACCCCGCUGUUCUGACGGUACCCAAAGAAUAAGCACCGGCUAACUUCGUG
This 492-nucleotide ribosomal RNA is filed under the name uncultured bacterium. RNAcentral describes it as "partial 16S ribosomal RNA". It matches the Rfam family "Bacterial small subunit ribosomal RNA", at positions 29 to 507 of the family's 1533-position model. The record is from RNAcentral.